This 497-nucleotide ribosomal RNA is filed under the name uncultured bacterium. RNAcentral's name for it is "partial 16S ribosomal RNA". It matches the Rfam family "Bacterial small subunit ribosomal RNA", at positions 28 to 507 of the family's 1533-position model. The record is from RNAcentral.
GAUGAACGCUGGCGGCGUGCCUAAUACAUGCCAGUCGAGCGAACAGACGAGGAGCUUGCUCCUCUGACGUUAGCGGCGGACGGGUGAGUAACACGUGGAUAACCUACCUAUAAGACUGGGAUAACUUCGGGAAACCGGAGCUAAUACCGGAUAAUAUAUUGAACCGCAUGGUUCAAUAGUGAAAGACGGUUUUGCUGUAACUUAUAGAUGGAUCCGCGCCGCAUUAGCUAGUUGGUAAGGUAACGGCUUAUCAAGGCAACGAUGCGUAGCCGACCUGAGAGAGUGAUCGGCCACACUGGAACUUAGACACGGUCCAGACUCCUACGGGAGGCAACAGUAGGGAAUCUUCCGCAAUGGGCGAAAGCUUGACGGAACAACGCCGCAUGAGUGAUGAAGGUCUUCGGAUCGUAAAACUCUGUUAUUAGGGAAGAACAAAUGUGUAAGUAACUAUGCACGUCUUGACGGUACCUAAUCAGAAAGCCACGGCUAACUACGUG